UGCAUCGGCCGGGAAUCGAACCCGGGCCGUCCGCGUGGCAGACGAGCAUUCUACCACUGAACCACCGAUGC
Molecule: transfer RNA, 71 nt
Filed under: Cordylochernes scorpioides
Lineage: Eukaryota; Metazoa; Arthropoda; Arachnida; Pseudoscorpiones; Chernetidae
Description: tRNA-Gly
Source: RNAcentral